GGACGAACGCUGGCGGCGUGCCUAACACAUGCAAGUCGAGCGAUGAAGUUUCUUCGGGAACGGAUUAGCGGCGGACGGGUGAGUAACACGUGGGCAACCUGCCUUAUAGAGGGGAAUAGCCUUCCGAAAGGAAGAUUAAUACCGCAUAAGAUUGUAGCUUCGCAUGAAGUAGCAAUUAAAGGAGCAAUCCGCUAUGAGAUGGGCCCGCGGCGCAUUAGCUAGUUGGUGAGGUAACGGCUCACCAAGGCGACGAUGCGUAGCCGACCUGAGAGGGUGAUCGGCCACAUUGGGACUGAGACACGGCCCAGACUCCUACGGGAGGCAGCAGUGGGGAAUAUUGCACAAUGGGGGAAACCCUGAUGCAGCAACGCCGCGUGAGUGAUGACGGCCUUCGGGUUGUAAAGCUCUGUCUUUGGGGACGAUAAUGACGGUACCUGAGGAGGAAGCCACGGCUA
RNAcentral lists this ribosomal RNA (455 nucleotides) under uncultured Clostridium sp. RNAcentral describes it as "bacterial SSU rRNA". It matches the Rfam family "Bacterial small subunit ribosomal RNA", at positions 27 to 499 of the family's 1533-position model. Lineage: Bacteria; Bacillati; Bacillota; Clostridia; Eubacteriales; Clostridiaceae. The record is from RNAcentral.